GUGCAGUGAAGGUUCUUCGGAAGAAGGGCUGGAGCGCCGGCUAGUGAGAAUGCAGACACGAGUAGCGAUAAACCAGAUGAGAAUUCUGGUCGCCGUAAACCCAAGGUUUCCUGGGCAAGGUUCGUCCCCCCAGGGUUAGUCGGGAGCUAAGACGAGGUCGUAAGACGUAGUCGAUGCCCAGCCGGUCAAUAUUCCGGCACCGAACCAGGUCAAACCACCGAUCACGCAGCGGGAAAAGCAGCACGAUCAUUGAAAGAUCGGGCCUAGGAGCAAUCCAAAGCAUGCUGCCGGACCUUCUGCCGAGAAAAGUUGGUGGCCCUUUCCUGGUCGCCCGUACCGUAAACCGACACAGGUGGGUGAGUGUAAGUGCACUCAGGCGCGCGAGAGAGACCUCUCUAAGGAACUCUGCACAUUAGCCCCGUAACUUCGGGAGAAGGGGUACUCACUUCGGUGAGUCACAGUAAAUUGCGUUUAGCGACUGUUUAACAAAAACACAGCACUCUGCCACGUCAUUAAGACUACGUAUAGGGUGUGACAAGUGACCAAUGCGGGAAGAUCAAGGCAAGGGGUUAGCCGCAAGGCGAAGCUCUGAACCAAAGUCCCCGUGAAUGUCGGCCGUAACUAUAACGGUCCUAAGGUAGCAAAAUUCCUUGUCGGGUAAGUUCCGACCUGCACGAAUCUUGUAACGACUGAACGACUGUCUCGGAGAGGUUCUCGGCGAAACUGUAAUUGCGGUGUAGAUGCCGCAUGCCCGCAGUAGGACGGAAAGACCCUAUGCACCUUUACUGUAAGCUCGUAUUGGCUUCUGGUUGGCAAUGCUUAGCGUAGGUGGGAGACUUUGAAGGCAUGGCUUCGGUUGUGCCUGAGUCGAAAUGUGAAACACCACUCUUUGCCCAUUAGGAGUCUAACCUCGAACCCAUUAGCUGGGCGGGGGACAGUGCGUGCAGGUCAGUUUGGCUGGGGCGGCUUCCUCCCAAAUGGUAACGGAGGAGCGCGAAGCUGGGCUCAGCAUGGUUGGCAACCAUGCGUCGAGCGUAUGGGUAGAAGCCCGGUUGACUGCGAGACCUACAAGUCGAGCAGAUGCGAAAGCAGGCCCAAAUGAUCCGAUGGUUGAAUGUGGAAUUGCCAUCGCUCAACGGACAAAAGGUACGCUAGGGAUAACAGGCUGAUCGGAUCCAAGAGUUCAUAUCGACGAUCCGGUUUGGCACCUCGAUGUCGGCUCAUCGCAUCCUGGGGCUGGAGAAGGUCCCAAGGGUCCGGCUGUUCGCCGGUUAAAGCGGUACGCGAGCUGGGUUCAGAACGUCGUGAGACAGUUCGGUCCAUAUCCACUGUGGGCGGAGGAAACUUGAGGGGUUCAUUCCUUAGUACGAGAGGACCGGGAAUGACGCACUUCUGGUGUGGCAGUUGUCCCGUCAGGGGCACCGCUGCGUAGCCAUGUGCGGAAGAGAUAAGCGCUGAAAGCAUCUAAGUGCCAAGCUCAUCCCAAGAUUAGGUUUCCCAGGGCGUAAGCCCUCUAAAGGUCUCAGGCAGACUACCUGAUUGAUAGGCUGGGCGUACAAGUGCUGUGAAGCACGAGCGGACCAGUA
RNAcentral lists this ribosomal RNA (1586 nucleotides) under metagenome. RNAcentral describes it as "bacterial LSU rRNA". It matches the Rfam family "Bacterial large subunit ribosomal RNA", at positions 1245 to 2900 of the family's 2925-position model. The record is from RNAcentral.